GGAUUAGAUACCCUGGUAGUCCACGCUGUAAACGAUGUCUACUUGGAGGUUGGUGUCUUGAAUACUGGCUUUCGAAGCUAACGCGUUAAGUAGACCGCCUGGGGAGUACGGUCGCAAGAUUAAAACUCAAAUGAAUUGACGGGGGCCCGCACAAGCGGUGGAGCAUGUGGUUUAAUUCGAUGCAACGCGAAGAACCUUACCUACUCUUGACAUCCAGAGAAGCCGGAAGAGAUUCUGGUGUGCCUUAGGGAACUCUGAGACAGGUGCUGCAUGGCUGUCGUCAGCUCGUGCCG
RNAcentral lists this ribosomal RNA (293 nucleotides) under uncultured bacterium. RNAcentral's name for it is "partial 16S ribosomal RNA". It matches the Rfam family "Bacterial small subunit ribosomal RNA", at positions 775 to 1067 of the family's 1533-position model. The record is from RNAcentral.